RNAcentral lists this ribosomal RNA (525 nucleotides) under uncultured Clostridium sp. RNAcentral describes it as "bacterial SSU rRNA". It matches the Rfam family "Bacterial small subunit ribosomal RNA", at positions 355 to 896 of the family's 1533-position model. The record is from RNAcentral. Lineage: Bacteria; Bacillati; Bacillota; Clostridia; Eubacteriales; Clostridiaceae.
UAGGGAAUAUUGCACAAUGGGGGAAACCCUGAUGCAGCAACGCCGCGUGAGUGAAGAAGGUCUUCGGAUCGUAAAGCUCUGUUGUAUGGGACGAUAAUGACGGUACCAUACAAGGAAGCCACGGCUAACUACGUGCCAGCAGCCGCGGUAAUACGUAGGUGGCAAGCGUUGUCCGGAAUUACUGGGUGUAAAGGAUGCGUAGGCGGAUAUGUAAGUCAGAUGUGAAACCCCCGGGCUUAACCCGGGGCAUGCAUUUGAGACUGCAUAUCUAGAGUGCAGGAGAGGAAAGCGGAAUUCCUAGUGUAGCGGUGAAAUGCGUAGAUAUUAGGAAGAACACCAGUGGCGAAGGCGGCUUUCUGGACUGUAACUGACGCUGAUGCAUGAAAGCGUGGGGAGCAAACAGGAUUAGAUACCCUGGUAGUCCACGCCGUAAACGAUGGGUACUAGGUGUGGGAGGUAUCGACCCCUUCCGUGCCGCAGUAAACACAAUAAGUACCCCACCUGGGGAGUACGGUCGCAAGAUUA